RNAcentral lists this ribosomal RNA (401 nucleotides) under uncultured prokaryote. RNAcentral's name for it is "bacterial SSU rRNA". It matches the Rfam family "Archaeal small subunit ribosomal RNA", at positions 90 to 474 of the family's 1478-position model. The record is from RNAcentral.
UUCAUAACACGUAGUCAAUCUCCCCUUAGGACGGGCAUAACCCUGGGAAACUGGGGCUAAUAUUUGAUAGAUGAAGGUCCCUGGAAUGACCCUCUGUGGAAAAGUUCUUGGAAAAAUGCUUCCAAGAGCGCCUAAGGAUGAGAUUGCGUCCGAUCAGGCUGUUGGUGGGGUAACGGCCCACCAAAUUUAUAACCGGUACGGGCCCUGAGAGGGGAAGCCCGGAGAUGGGAAUUGAGACAAGGUCCCAACCCUUACGGGGCGCAGCAGGCGCGAAAAUUCCACAAUGCGCGAAAGCGUGAUGGGGUUACCCCGAGUCCCGUCCGAUGAGGAUGGCUUUUCCCCAGUGUAAGGAGCUGGGGGAAUAAAGGGGGGGUAAGACUGGUGCCAGCAGCCGCGGUAAU